UACGUAGGGGGCAAGCGUUGUCCGGAUUAUUGGGCGUAAAGAGCGUGUAGGCGGCUUUACAGGUCCGUUGUGAAAACUCGAGGCUCAACCUCGAGACGCCGGUGGAAACCGUAAGGCUAGAGUCCGGAAGAGGAGAGUGGAAUUCCUGGUGUAGCGGUGAAAUGCGCAGAUAUCAGGAGGAACACCCGUGGCGAAAGCGGCUCUCUGGGACGGUACUGACGCUGAGACGCGA
RNAcentral lists this ribosomal RNA (232 nucleotides) under uncultured bacterium. Its description in RNAcentral is "partial 16S ribosomal RNA". It matches the Rfam family "Bacterial small subunit ribosomal RNA", at positions 524 to 756 of the family's 1533-position model. The record is from RNAcentral.